GCCUGCCGCGUGCAGGAAGACUGCCCUAUGGGUUGUAAACUGCUUUUAUACAGGAAGAAACAGUCCUACGUGUACGGCCUUGACGGUACUGUAAGAAUAAGGACCGGCUAACUCCGUGCCAGCAGCCGCGGUAAUACGGAGGGUGCAAGCGUUAUCCGGAAUCAUUGGGUUUAAAGGGUCCGCAGGCGGUCAAUUAAGUCAGAGGUGAAAUCCCGUAGCUCAACUGYGGAACUGCCUUUGAUACUGGUUGACUUGAGUUAUACGGAAGUAGAUAGAAUGUGUAGUGUAGCGGUGAAAUGCAUAGAUAUUACUUAGAAUACCGAUUGCGAAGGCAG
Molecule: ribosomal RNA, 335 nt
Filed under: uncultured prokaryote
Description: bacterial SSU rRNA
Rfam family: Bacterial small subunit ribosomal RNA
Source: RNAcentral